GGGCGAUUAGCUCAGUUGGUAGAGCGUCUCGUUUACACCGAGAACGUCGGCGGUUCGAGCCGGUCAUCGCCCA
Molecule: transfer RNA, 73 nt
Filed under: Sphingomonas sp. OK281
Lineage: Bacteria; Pseudomonadati; Pseudomonadota; Alphaproteobacteria; Sphingomonadales; Sphingomonadaceae
Description: tRNA_Val_TAC
Rfam family: tRNA
About the family: Transfer RNA (tRNA) molecules are approximately 80 nucleotides in length. Their secondary structure includes four short double-helical elements and three loops (D, anti-codon, and T loops). Further hydrogen bonds mediate the characteristic L-shaped molecular structure. tRNAs have two regions of fundamental functional importance: the anti-codon, which is responsible for specific mRNA codon recognition, and the 3' end, to which the tRNAs corresponding amino acid is attached (by aminoacyl-tRNA synthetases). tRNAs cope with the degeneracy of the genetic code in two manners: having more than one tRNA (with a specific anti-codon) for a particular amino acid; and 'wobble' base-pairing, i.e. permitting non-standard base-pairing at the 3rd anti-codon position.
Source: RNAcentral